Molecule: ribosomal RNA, 668 nt
Filed under: uncultured bacterium
Lineage: Bacteria
Description: bacterial SSU rRNA
Rfam family: Bacterial small subunit ribosomal RNA
Source: RNAcentral
AGCGGCGGACGGGUGAGUAACACGUGGGUAACCUGCCCAAGAGACUGGGAUAACACCUGGAAACAGAUGCUAAUACCGGAUAACAACACUAGACGCAUGUCUAGAGUUUGAAAGAUGGUUCUGCUAUCACUCUUGGAUGGACCUGCGGUGCAUUAGCUAGUUGGUAAGGUAACGGCUUACCAAGGCAAUGAUGCAUAGCCGAGUUGAGAGACUGAUCGGCCACAUUGGGACUGAGACACGGCCCAAACUCCUACGGGAGGCAGCAGUAGGGAAUCUUCCACAAUGGACGAAAGUCUGAUGGAGCAACGCCGCGUGAGUGAAGAAGGGUUUCGGCUCGUAAAGCUCUGUUGGUAGUGAAGAAAGAUAGAGGUAGUAACUGGCCUUUAUUUGACGGUAAUUACUUAGAAAGUCACGGCUAACUACGUGCCAGCAGCCGCGGUAAUACGUAGGUGGCAAGCGUUGUCCGGAUUUAUUGGGCGUAAAGCGAGUGCAGGCGGUUCAAUAAGUCUGAUGUGAAAGCCUUCGGCUCAACCGGAGAAUUGCAUCAGAAACUGUUGAACUUGAGUGCAGAAAAGAGAGUGGAACUCCAUGUGUAGCGGUGGAAUGCGUAAAUUUNUGGAAAACCCCAGUGCGAAGGCGGCUCUNUGUCUGCANCUGACCCUNAGCUC